GAUGAAAGCGGAUGGCAUAUGAAGCAGCGCUUUGGGCUUUAGUUGAAAUUAUGGGAGCACCAAUAUACUCUUCUAACUAAUGUGGUGUUGACACUUGGAGUCUUGACAGAUCCCGAAGGACACCUCCCACGGCCGGUCGUGCUCCAUCCAAGCCCACAGCCACAGGUCCCAGUGACAGCCGCACUAGGUGCGACAUACACCCCAAAUUGUUAAAAAUUACUAAAUACAACCUCAAUCUUGAAGUCUCUCUUCAUUUAGUGAAAUCAUGUAAGCCGGGAGUCGAAGAUCCUGAAGAAACGUGGAGUCCUUAUUUUAUUAUUUUUUAUUUUGAGCAAAAUAAUUGGAAAAUGUACAGCUUAAAUUCUCCGAGGCUGCAGACAUUGCUGGACGGUGCUGAAGCAAGGCGAAGUAGCUAUAGAAAUUGCCCAGCUUAAUCUAUUAGACAGGCGAGGUUAAAAGCACCAGAUGCAACCCAUCAUUUACCAAUAACUCAAAGUUCCACAGGUAAUCUUAUUAGGGGCAUGAAGGUUUGGCCGUUGUCUCGCCACUACAUCCCAAAAGGACAACUAAGCCGUUGACGAUACAGAUCCUUUGUUAUUUAAUCUUCAAUUUCUAGCC
This 618-nucleotide long non-coding RNA is filed under the name Phoenix dactylifera (date palm). Its description in RNAcentral is "long non-coding RNA (PDAC_LNC017992)". The record is from RNAcentral. Lineage: Eukaryota; Viridiplantae; Streptophyta; Magnoliopsida; Arecales; Arecaceae.